Molecule: long non-coding RNA, 2160 nt
Organism: Carassius auratus (goldfish)
Lineage: Eukaryota; Metazoa; Chordata; Actinopteri; Cypriniformes; Cyprinidae
Source: Ensembl
AGUGGUGAUGAGGGAAAGAGGGUAAAAAAGAGGAAAGAAAGAGCAGGAAGAAUGAGUUUGAGUAAGAGGGACAGAGAUUUUGACAUGUACAUGCUGUGUUGAAUAGCACAUUGUGGUUUGUCCAGUCCCGGUUUUUACCAGCAGAAUUGAAUGUGUGCUGCAUGGAUGUGACUUUGUCCCCCCUAAAUUUUCACAGCCACAUUUUCAGAUACAAUCUCCCCCCACUCCCAAACACUCCCCCCACCCCACACCUUUCAAUUUCUUUUCUUACCUCUUUUCUAUAGCCAUUGCCUCUUUCUCAGUAGUGUGAAUGUAGAAUAUAAAGGUUGUUAUCAACGGCCAGGCAGAUUUUUAUUUUUAUUUUUUGAAGACCAAUCCUGUCCAGCAGCAGACAAUGUGAUCAGCUGACACUUAUUUUUAUUCUUGAGAAAAGUACUGGUACUGAAAAUGCAACUUUUUAAAUAUUUUAACACCAAAAAUAUAAAAAACUGCAUGUAAUUUUUUUUUUUCAAAAUUCAUUGAUUCAAAUAUUAAAUUCAGGUAUCUUUGGUUGCAGCUAAAAAACAGUAUUAAAUAAUUGUUUAUGUUUCAAUAAUUGUUAUUCUUAUUGUAAUUGUAUUUUACGUGCAGUAAUGUAAAGUAUUUCACACUUUUCUCUGGGACUGUAAAAGAGCAGAGCAGGUUGCACAGUGUGGUGCCUCUCAUCUUUUGUGUGCUGGUUUCUCUGUGCCAGCUUUCUGCUGUCACAUUAGUGCAUGUCAAAUGAACAAGCUCGCAUGUAAAUGUACUCUUGGACUUUUAACUUUUUAGCUUGAUCAGAGGCUUCCUUUGCAUACAGGAAGUACUUUUUAGUCUUUCAAACUGAUUUGCUAAGUGUCAUUGUGUUUGUCUUUCCUUUCUAAGUGUCUCUCAGGGGAGUUUUGGAGCAAUUAUUCACACCUGCUGCAAUGGGUGGAUCAACCAUAUGCCCAUGGACAUGCACACUCAAUGACAAAGGCGGAUACCAACAGGUCCUCUCUGACACAAAGCGCCUUGGGGCUGAGGGAGGCGGGCGAGACGAGGGGUGCAUUUUAACCUGAGACGUCCCUCACACAAUUGGAGGGAAGAUUAGCAGGAUUAAGACUGGCUCACAUAUGCUGCUCUUCACUACUGGCAUUCAUCACAACACAAGCCCAACUGCCACCCAGACGGGGAGAGAAAGAGAAAGAAAAAGAGUGAGAGUGAAAGUUUUUCUCUGAUAUUAAAGCAUUGCUACACUAAAUCAAAGCUGUUUGGAAUAAUUUUGGAAGAAAAAAAAGGCUGAUUAGUGAGAAAGGGACAGAGAAAAAAAUGUUGGAUUGUGAGAGGGUUAUGGAAGAGGAUGCAAAAGCAUUUAUGAUGGAAAAUAGCUAAAGAGGUGUAGGACAUACAGUGUGGUCAAAAAGUAUUUAUUUAUUUAUUUUUACUAAAAAAAAGUUGUGGGAUUUUGAUAAUUGUUGAAAAAAAUAUGAUGAAAAGGUUAAUACUGAGUACUCUCCAAUCCAUUUUAAGCAAGAUUGUGACACUGAUCAUGUAAAUUUUACUGGAUAACCUGAUUGUCAGCUAUUUUCAUUUUUAAAAAACUUUAAUGUACCUUUUUAUUGCUUUGUGUUGUUUUACCUUGGCAUGAAAACUUAAGGCUGCUUUGUGGGUUUUUUAUGACUAAGGGAGUGACAGCAAAUUUGGCUAAAAGCAUCUGCUAAAUACAUGAAUGUACCCCUUUUGGUCAUAUAAACAAGCAAGUAGGAAUGUAAAAAAUAUUUGUUGUGGUUUCCAUUUACCACUAUAGAAGAUUGCUCAAUGACAAAUUCUGCUUUUGAGAACCCCGGAAAAAAUUGAAGAUGUCCAUUUUAAAAUGAUUGAAAAACAGAAUCAUUUUCACUAGUGUUUUUAGUGAAUUGUAUUUAUUUUGGAAAUAACUCCCAGUUGGAUUAAUAAAACAGGAUGAGAAAAAAAAUGUCUGACUAAACACCACCUCAGUUUUACAGAACAACAAAAAAUGUUGAAGAUGUAGAAUGUGCCAUGACACGACAGUUAGAUGUAAUGCAUAGAAAGACAUGCUUUCAAGUACUGUAAAACACUGUACUCAUGUUGAGUUUGGGGUUAACCAUGCAAAAAAAAAAUGGUGACACUUAACUCCAG